CGGCUUACCUCGGGGUGCCACCAGAUGUGGCUGAGAUGCGCAAGCGGACCCGUAGAACCUGACCCGGCUAAAACCGGCGGAGGGAAGGUAUUCGCCUCAUAG
Molecule: non-coding RNA, 102 nt
Filed under: Pacificibacter marinus
Lineage: Bacteria; Pseudomonadati; Pseudomonadota; Alphaproteobacteria; Rhodobacterales; Roseobacteraceae
Description: TPP sequence
Rfam family: TPP riboswitch aptamer (THI element)
About the family: Vitamin B(1) in its active form thiamin pyrophosphate (TPP) is an essential coenzyme that is synthesised by coupling of pyrimidine and thiazole moieties in bacteria. The previously detected thiamin-regulatory element, thi box was extended, resulting in a new, highly conserved RNA secondary structure, the THI element, which is widely distributed in eubacteria and also occurs in some archaea.
Source: Rfam by way of RNAcentral